Molecule: ribosomal RNA, 252 nt
Filed under: uncultured bacterium
Lineage: Bacteria
Description: partial 16S ribosomal RNA
Rfam family: Bacterial small subunit ribosomal RNA
Source: RNAcentral
UACGUAGGGUGCAAGCGUUAAUCGGAAUUACUGGGCGUAAAGCGUGCGCAGGCGGUUUUGUAAGUCUGUCGUGAAAGCCCCGGGCUCAACCUGGGAAUUGCAUUUGAGACUGCGUAGCUAGGGUGCGGAAGAGGGAAGCGGAAUUUCCGGUGUAGCGGUGAAAUGCGUAGAUAUCGGAAGGAACACCAGUGGCGAAAGCGGCUUCCUGGUCCAGCACCGACGUCAGGCACGAAAGCGUGGGGAGCAAACAGG